AAUUCUCAACCUAUCUCGUUUUCUAACUUGUUAGGCUUGGAUCAUGGAAGUUGCUGGUUCAAUUCGAAUCAGCUCUUCUUAAAUAUAUUAGCAAAGACUUUUGCUGACCAUCAUUGGUAUGAUAAUUAUCUAUAUCAUUGGUAACCAGUUCCCUUUCAUAGGGAAGUCUUGCUUCUAAUAGUCGUUUCGACAACUUGACAC
This 201-nucleotide unclassified non-coding RNA is filed under the name uncultured Entoloma. RNAcentral's name for it is "sequence contains ITS2". Lineage: Eukaryota; Fungi; Basidiomycota; Agaricomycetes; Agaricales; Entolomataceae. The record is from RNAcentral.